This 46-nucleotide ribosomal RNA is filed under the name Sporosarcina newyorkensis. Lineage: Bacteria; Bacillati; Bacillota; Bacilli; Caryophanales; Caryophanaceae. The record is from RNAcentral.
AUGGUAGUCGGGGGCUUCCCCCUGUGAGAGUAGGACGUUGCUAGGC